Thiobacillus sp. SCN 64-317 is the source of this 306-nucleotide non-coding RNA. Lineage: Bacteria; Pseudomonadati; Pseudomonadota; Betaproteobacteria; Nitrosomonadales; Thiobacillaceae. The record is from Rfam.
AAAGCCGGUCAGGCAGCCGCUGCUGCUGCCCCUCGGGGCAACAGGAGAGGAAAGUCCGGGCUCCACAGAGCAGGAUGACGGCUAACGGCCGUACGCCGCGAGGCGAGGAACAGGGCCACAGAGACGAGCAAACCCCCUCGGGGGUGGACGUGAAACGCGGUAACCUCCAUCCGGAGCAACACCAAAUAGGCGGACGAUGACGCUGCUCGCCGAGUCCGCGGGUAGGUGGCUUGAGCCGGCCAGCAAUGACCGGCCUAGAGGAAUGGUUGCCCACGACAGAACCCGGCUUAUCGGCCGACUUUCCCA